GCCGCCGUAGCAUAGUCUGGUUUUAUGCAGCGGUUUCGUAAACCGCAGAUCGUGGGUUCAAAUCCCACCGGCGGCU
RNAcentral lists this transfer RNA (76 nucleotides) under Microcaldota archaeon. Its description in RNAcentral is "tRNA-Thr". It matches the Rfam family "tRNA". From Rfam's summary of the family: Transfer RNA (tRNA) molecules are approximately 80 nucleotides in length. The record is from RNAcentral. Lineage: Archaea; Nanobdellati; Microcaldota.